RNAcentral lists this small RNA (51 nucleotides) under Staphylococcus aureus. RNAcentral describes it as "HMPRFS0000_2557". Lineage: Bacteria; Bacillati; Bacillota; Bacilli; Caryophanales; Staphylococcaceae. The record is from RNAcentral.
GAAAUGCUAAUAAUUGGGCUGCUGCUGCACAAGGUGCUGGAUUCACAGUAA